This 254-nucleotide ribosomal RNA is filed under the name uncultured bacterium. RNAcentral describes it as "partial 16S ribosomal RNA". It matches the Rfam family "Bacterial small subunit ribosomal RNA", at positions 524 to 776 of the family's 1533-position model. The record is from RNAcentral.
UACGUAGGGUGCGAGCGUUGUCCGGAAUUAUUGGGCGUAAAGAGCUCGUAGGCGGUGUGUCACGUCGGCCGUGAAAACCUGCAGCUUAACUGUGGGCGUGCGGUCGAUACGGGCAUCACUGGAGUUCGGCAGGGGAGACUGGAAUUCCUGGUGUAGCGGUGAAAUGCGCAGAUAUCAGGAGGAACACCAAUGGCGAAGGCAGCUCGCUGGAACGGUACUGACGCUGAGGCGCGAAAGCGUGGGGAGCAAACAGG